Molecule: ribosomal RNA, 617 nt
Filed under: uncultured Scopulariopsis
Lineage: Eukaryota; Fungi; Ascomycota; Sordariomycetes; Microascales
Description: eukaryotic LSU rRNA
Rfam family: 5.8S ribosomal RNA (bases 227-380)
Source: RNAcentral
GAUUUAGGUCUCGUUGGUGACAGCGGAGGGAUCAUUAUCGAAGUUACUCUUCAUACCCAUUUGUGAACACUACCCCAUUGCCGCACGUUGCCUCGGCGGUGAGGUCCGCGGGGGGUGGGCUGCCCUCCGGCGAUUGCCCCCCCUCCCCGGGCCCCCGCCGGCCCCGCCUUACUCUUAAUUUGCAAAGCGGACUGUACGAUCUGAUUAAUCUUGAUAAACAAGUCAAAACUUUCAACAACGGAUCUCUUGGUUCUGGCAUCGCCCAAGAACGCAGCGAAAUGCGAUAAGUAAUGUGAAUUGCAGAAUUCAGUGAAUCAUCGAAUCUUUGAACGCACAUUGCGAGGGCCAGCAAUCUGCCCGGCAUGCCUGUCCGAGCGUCAUUUCUCCCCUCGAGCGCGGUUGGCCCCUAGCGGGCCGGCCGCCGCCCGGUGUUGGGGCACUGCGGGCCACAGCGCCCGCAGGCCCUUAAAUGAAGUGGCGGUCCCGCCGCGCCGCCCCCUGCGUAGUAGUAAAGCACCUCGCAUCGGGUCCCGGCGAAGACCAGCCGUCGAACCUAUCUCUUGAUGGUUUGACCUCGGAUCAGGUAGGGAUACCCGCUGAACUUAAGCAUAUCAAAA